This is a long non-coding RNA of Lynx canadensis (Canada lynx), 101 nucleotides long. RefSeq lists it as uncharacterized. The record is from RefSeq and is a predicted model, not a curated record. The transcript has 3 exons. Lineage: Eukaryota; Metazoa; Chordata; Mammalia; Carnivora; Felidae.
UCCCAAACCACAAGCAUGGAAUAUCUUUCCAUUUCUUUGUGUCAUCUUCAAUUCUUUUCAUAACUGCUCCAUAGUUUUUAGAGUAUAUGUCUUUAGCCUCU